Transfer RNA from Phytophthora megakarya, 72 nucleotides. It matches the Rfam family "tRNA". From Rfam's summary of the family: Transfer RNA (tRNA) molecules are approximately 80 nucleotides in length. Their secondary structure includes four short double-helical elements and three loops (D, anti-codon, and T loops). The record is from Rfam. NCBI's taxonomy places the organism in Eukaryota, Oomycota, Peronosporomycetes, Peronosporales, Peronosporaceae.
GUGCACGUAGCUCAAUUGGAUGAGCACCGCCUUUUGUGUGGGUGGACGCGGGUUCAAUUCCCGCCGUGUCCU